GAUGAACGCUAGCUACAGGCCUAACACAUGCAAGUCGCGGGGCAGCAUGGGGGUUGCUUGCAAUCCCCGAUGGCGACCGGCGCACGGGUGAGUAACGCGUAUCCAACCUGCCCUUCACCACGGGAUAACCCGGCGAAAGUCGGACUAAUACCGUAUGUUGUCCAUUGACGGCAUCCGAUUUGGACGAAAGGUUUGGCGGUGAAGGAUGGGGAUGCGUCCGAUUAGCUGGACGGCGGGGUGACGGCCCACCGUGGCGACGAUCGGUAGGGGUUCUGAGAGGAAGGUCCCCCACACUGGAACUGAGACACGGUCCAGACUCCUACGGGAGGCAGCAGUGAGGAAUAUUGGUCAAUGGGCGUAAGCCUGAACCAGCCAAGUAGCGUGCAGGAUGACGGCCCUAUGGGUUGUAAACUGCUUUUAUGCGGGGAUAAAGUGGCCCACGUGUGGGUUUUUGCAGGUACCGCAUGAAUAAGGACCGGCUAAUUCCGUG
RNAcentral lists this ribosomal RNA (490 nucleotides) under uncultured bacterium. RNAcentral describes it as "partial 16S ribosomal RNA". It matches the Rfam family "Bacterial small subunit ribosomal RNA", at positions 28 to 507 of the family's 1533-position model. The record is from RNAcentral.